Rosa rugosa (rugosa rose) is the source of this 624-nucleotide long non-coding RNA. RefSeq lists it as uncharacterized. The record is from RefSeq and is a predicted model, not a curated record. The transcript has 3 exons. NCBI's taxonomy places the organism in Eukaryota, Viridiplantae, Streptophyta, Magnoliopsida, Rosales, Rosaceae.
UAAACAAAACAGAGAGGGACUAAAUACAUGACUUCGAAAUUCUAGAACGCUAAGAACGGCAAAUACCUAACGUCUCGAUUUCUCGCUCUCUCUUCUUCUUACAUCGCUGAUCUCCAGGUUGGAAAUGUUAAUGUGUUACUUUGCAGCUACUAUGACCAUGGAGAAGAAAAUAGAAAUUUCCAGAGACGCAUUUAUUCAAUGCUUGAAGAGGACUACAAGAAAUCAAAUUUUCAACCACAACUUGAGACAAAGUAACAAAGUGCAUCAAUCUUGACAUUGGUGAAAGUUUGAAACCAUCACAAUGUCGCACUGUUAAUCUCUGAAGCAGAGGACUACAAGAAAUCAAAUUUUCAACCACAAAUGGUUAGGUACUUAAAAGUCCAGAAGCCUCUGAAUGUGGACGGAAGGCUUAGCAAACACCUACCUAUAUAACUCUAAACAAACCAUAUCUUGGCAAGAGAACAAACAUGAUGGCAUGUUGUAAUGACUCGAUGUCCAUGGAUAAAGUAUGAACUGCUUGAUAGAGUUUCUUAUAGAUAAGUCACCCAUUCAAUAUCGUGACUUGGUGUUGGUACUAGAGGAUCUAUAUAAUAAAGCUUGAACUUGCGUAGGGGUCAGUAUGAA